RNAcentral lists this ribosomal RNA (405 nucleotides) under uncultured bacterium. RNAcentral describes it as "partial 16S ribosomal RNA". It matches the Rfam family "Bacterial small subunit ribosomal RNA", at positions 30 to 526 of the family's 1533-position model. The record is from RNAcentral.
AUUGAACGCUAGCGGGAUGCCUUACACAUGCAAGUCGAACGAGUGGAUAACGGUUGUGUCAUGUAACGGAACGUUCCCAGUAGCGCGCUCUAACUACGCGAAAAGUAGCCAAUAUCGCACACUAUUGCAUCGGCCGAUAUCGGCUUAGGUAGCUGGUGGGGUAACGGCUCACCAAGGCGACGAUCCGUAGCUGGUUUGAGAGGACGACCAGCCACACUGGGGUGGAGACAAGGCCCAGAGUCCGCAGAGUGGGAGGAGUAGGAGAUUGUGGGCAAUGGGGGAAACCUCGGUCUAGGGAAACGUCGUGUGUGAUGAAUGCUCUCGGGUUGGAAAGAACGGGUGGGAGUCAAGCGGUACCUGCAGAAUAAGCACCGGCUAACUACGUGCCAGCAGCCGCGGUAAUAC